RNAcentral lists this ribosomal RNA (253 nucleotides) under uncultured bacterium. RNAcentral's name for it is "partial 16S ribosomal RNA". It matches the Rfam family "Bacterial small subunit ribosomal RNA", at positions 524 to 776 of the family's 1533-position model. The record is from RNAcentral.
UACGUAGGGGGCAAGCGUUGUCCGGAAUCAUUGGGCGUAAAGCGCGUGUAGGCGGCCCGAUAAGUCCGCUGUGAAAGUCCAGGGCUCAACCCUGGAAUGCCGGUGGAUACUGUCGGGCUCGAGUCCGGAAGAGGCGAGUGGAAUUCCUGGUGUAGCGGUGAAAUGUGUAGAGAUCGGGAGGAACACCGGUGGCGAAGGCGGGUCUCUGGGCAAUUCCUGACGCUGAGGCGCGAAAGCGUGGGGAGCAAACGGG